GAUGCUGCUCUUGCACUUGAGAUGACAUCCUCUUGCAACAAAAGUGGUGAUAUCCCAGAAGGAGAGAUUCGUGGUUUUGGUCAUUUACUUCUGAACUGCCUGCGUUUUCUGAGAAAGGCCUUGCAGAAGACGAAGGAAAGACACGACUUUCAAAUGUUUCAAAGGAAGAUUGAACAAGCGCCCCUCCCCAGCCCUUAUCCCAUCACCUUUCAGGUCCACUGAUGCUAUUUCAAGAUAGUGAUAUUGUUCUUGUUAUGAGAAUGUGUAUUUACUGUUAGUAGAUUGUAUUUUAAAAGUUACCCAAGAGUAAAAGUGAGUGAAAAAAAGGGAGAGAGAGAGAAACAUUAUAAAAGGUUAUUUAUGCAUUGAACUUUGUGUGUUUUCUGUAUAAAUGUGUACAUUUAUGUAGGAGAGGGCUUGGUGGAAGUAGGUGAUAAGAACUAGGAUUGGUUGAAGAAAAUGAAAAAACAAGAAUCAGUAAGAGAAAAUGUUUCCUUUACCCUAUUGUAACUAUAAAAACUCAUUAAAAAUCUUGCUUGUUUCUAGGCUUUAAGGAGAUAUGUGACUGCUCUCUAUGGAUAGACGUAUGUCUGGUUUCUGUGAUUAUUGUUGAUGUUUGAUCAGUGUAUUAUGGGAAUCUGGCCUCUUUGCUGAUCUUCUAAGAACCACGCUAAUGCAAAUUUCGCAAAGAAACCUUUUAUUUCCAAUGACUUAUACAACUCUGGCAUUGGAUAGCCCUCUGUUUUGUAAGAUUCUGGUGCUAAGCUUCCUGUGUGCCCGAACAUGACUGAAACAAGAGUGGUGAAGGAGAAUUUUGUAGAUAUAUUUGGAGUUGAGUACUGCGCUUCUCAUUGAAAAAGAGGUAUACAUACAAAAUUAGGAGACCGGAAGCAGGGUCACCAAUUGAUCAGAACUGAUUCACUCUUCUCUGGGCCAGCUGCUACUGACUCCCCAGCUGAAGAGGCUUGAAGGAGGGCCUGUCCGCUGUUAAGGACUUCACUGCUGCCCACCGAUAGUGUGAAGGUGAUAUUAGAACCCAGAGAUGUUCCUCUCUCCUUGUUUCCUCAGACACUUAGCCUUCCCAAAAGCUUUUCACCAAGGUGCAAAAUCAUUUACCUACAGUCCACGCAUCUUUUCUGAUGCACUGGGCCACAACUUUUAGGUGGGAGGGCUAAGUCAAUUUGACUCCAGGUUUUUGGUUCCUGGGUUUCCAGUUAUGCUCUGCAUUUAUCAUUUUAGAGAAUGGUUGUUAAGGGGACCAGAAUUUGUGUGGGGUUUUUUUGCCUUAACCAAUUAACAGUGUGUUGUUUUUUCCAAAAGACAUUGACUAGAACUUAGGCCAAGAAUUUCACUAGCACUUUUCUCUAUUACUCUGAGGAGCUUAAUAAUGAAAUUCUGACCAUCCACACUUGGGCCUCAAAAGAGUAGGACGUUCGGGAGGAGGCAAGGUGAGGAGGCUCCAGUGAAGAAGUCUAGAGGUGGUUCAAUUACAGUUUGGGCUUGAUUCUGAGGGUCUCUCUUUAACCCCUGACCAGGGAUUUGACUAGCUUGGUAUGGCUCACACACUGAACAUAAUUAGUGUAUAGGCAUUAAGAGGUUCCCAUCAAAAUGUUACUUUAUUUUCACUUUGAAAAAUAUUACCAACAGACUCCACAGCAUGGAAAGCAGGCAAUACUUAAAAGCCAAGUGGUUCUCCAAUUUAUUUCAAUGUUAUUUUUAUUUAAAGAUCGGUGUGAAAGUAUCACCUCAAUGUCUGAGGGUUUAGGAUCAGUUACCUUCUCAAUUCUAUAUUUGCUUUUGGUAUCUUUAGCCUAGCAAAACAUUUUGUGAACUCUAGAAUUAAGAAACUAAAAAUUAUUUACUUUGACACUUGAAGCUCACAUUUGGUUAAAACCUUAUCAGAACUACUUGAAAGAGAAGAUUUUGCAAACUGGGGCUAUAGAUACUGAACCAAAAUCAUCCCUUUUUUUCAGUUUAAGUUUACUUUGUCUCUCCUUACAAGGAUAUGAUUAAGCCACAUAUUAACAGGAAAUAUAUGUAUGUACUGGUAGGGAGAAAUGGGCUUGCUGUGUGUAUGUAUGUUUUAAAAUUAAUAAAUAUUAUAUCUUACUGAUCUCCAUAAAUGGUUUUUAUUUGCAUUUAUUUAAUUAAAG
This is a long non-coding RNA of Equus asinus (donkey), 2153 nucleotides long. The record is from Ensembl. NCBI's taxonomy places the organism in Eukaryota, Metazoa, Chordata, Mammalia, Perissodactyla, Equidae.